This 513-nucleotide ribosomal RNA is filed under the name uncultured Bacteroidota bacterium. RNAcentral's name for it is "bacterial SSU rRNA". It matches the Rfam family "Bacterial small subunit ribosomal RNA", at positions 8 to 522 of the family's 1533-position model. Lineage: Bacteria; Pseudomonadati; Bacteroidota. The record is from RNAcentral.
AGAGUUUGAUCCUGGCUCAGGAUGAACGCUAGCGGCAGGCUUAACACAUGCAAGUCGAGGGGUAUAGGUUUUCGGACCUAGAGACCGGCGCACGGGUGCGUAACGCGUAUGCAAUCUACCUUUUACUGAGGGAUAGCCCAGAGAAAUUUGGAUUAAUACCUCAUAGUAUUAUUGAAUGGCAUCAUUUAAUAAUUAAAGUCACAACGGUAAAAGAUGAGCAUGCGUCCCAUUAGCUUGUUGGUAAGGUAACGGCUUACCAAGGCAACGAUGGGUAGGGGUCCUGAGAGGGAGAUCCCCCACACUGGUACUGAGACACGGACCAGACUCCUACGGGAGGCAGCAGUGAGGAAUAUUGGUCAAUGGGCGCAAGCCUGAACCAGCCAUGCCGCGUGCAGGAUGACGGUCCUAUGGAUUGUAAACUGCUUUUGUACAGGAAGAAACAGUUCUACGUGUAGAACCUUGACGGUACUGUAAGAAUAAGGAUCGGCUAACUCCGUGCCAGCAGCCGCGGUA